RNAcentral lists this ribosomal RNA (447 nucleotides) under uncultured bacterium. RNAcentral describes it as "partial 16S ribosomal RNA". It matches the Rfam family "Bacterial small subunit ribosomal RNA", at positions 355 to 808 of the family's 1533-position model. The record is from RNAcentral.
UGGGGAAUAUUGGACAAUGGGCGCAAGCCUGAUCCAGCCAUGCCGCGUGAGUGAUGAAGGCCCUAGGGUUGUAAAGCCUUCUUCACCGGUGAAGAUAAUGACGGUAACCGGAGAAGAAGCCCCGGCUAACUUCGUGCCAGCAGCCGCGGUAAUAACGAAAGGGGGCUAGCGUUGUUCGGAUUUACUGGGCGUAAAGCGCACGUAGGCGGACUUUUAAGUCAGGGGUGAAAAUCCCGGGGCGUCAACCCCAGGCAAGCUGCCUUUGAUACUGGAAGUCUUGAGUAUGGUAGAGGUGAGUGGAAUUCCGAGUGUAGAGGUGAAAAUUCGUAGAUAUUCGGAGGAACACCAGUGGCGAAGGCGGCUCACUGGACCAUUACUGACGCUGAGGUGCGAAAAGCGUGGGGAGCAAAACAGGAUUAGAUACCCUGGUAGUCCACGCCGUAAAAC